RNAcentral lists this ribosomal RNA (559 nucleotides) under uncultured Burkholderia sp. Its description in RNAcentral is "bacterial SSU rRNA". It matches the Rfam family "Bacterial small subunit ribosomal RNA", at positions 357 to 908 of the family's 1533-position model. The record is from RNAcentral. Lineage: Bacteria; Pseudomonadati; Pseudomonadota; Betaproteobacteria; Burkholderiales; Burkholderiaceae.
GAAUAUUUUGCAGUAGGGGCGCAAGCCUGAUCCAGCAAUGCCGCGUGUGUGAAGAAGGCCUUCGGGUUGUAAAGCUCUUUUGUCCGGAAAGAAAACGUCCUGGUUAAUACCCGGGGCGUAUGACGGUACCGGAAGAAUAAGCACCGGCUAACUACGUGCCAGCAGCCGCGGUAAUACGUAGGGUGCAAGCGUUAAUCGGAAUUAUUGGGCGUAAAGCGUGCGCAGGCGGUUCGCUAAGACAGAUGUGAAAUCCCCGGGCUUAACCUGGGAACUGCAUUUGUGACUGGUGGGCUAGAGUAUGGCAGAGGGGGGUAGAAUUCCACGUGUAGCAGUGAAAUGCGUAGAGAUGUGGAGGAAUACCGAUGGCGAAGGCAGCCCCCUGGGCCAAUACUGACGCUGAUGCACGAAAGCGUGGGGGAGCAAACAGGAUUAGAUACCCUGGUAGUCCACGCCCUAAACGAUGUCAACUAGUUGUCGGGUCUUCAUUGACUUGGUAACGUAGCUAACGCGUGAAGUUGACCGCCUGGGGAGUACGGUCGCAAGAUUAAAACUCUUAUGA